CUCCUGCCUCAGCCUCCUGAGCCACUGGGAUUACAGGGCCUUAGGUGUCCUGGGACCGAAGAAGGCCCCAGAAUGUGGAGUGACAGCCCUGGGCAAAUCUGGAUAGCUGGCCACUCUCAGAGUCCCCAGAUUGGACUUCCUUCAAUCUUCUUAAACCAUCAUGAAAAAACAGGGCCUUAGGUGUCCUGGGACUGAAGAAGGCCACUUCCACUUUCCUUUCUUCCUCCCCUGUUCUCCUCGCUCCACUCCGCUGGUCUUCCUGAACACCUCCAUUAUUAAGGAGAACUCCAAGAGGACAUGAAUGAACACUCAGAUGAAGAGAGGCACAGAGGAAGCAUGUCCUCUCCGGACAUGCCACCUUCUAGGAUCAUUCGUGUGUUCAGCAACCUGGAAGCUCUCUGGACCCUGUUAUUUUGAGUUUUUAUGGAGGUUUAUUACAUAUUCAUGAUUGAUGAAACCACUGGCUAUUUCUGAUCCACUCAGCCUUCAGCCCUUCUCCCUCCCUAGAGAUGGGGGUGAGCAGAGCUGAAAGUCCCAACCCUCUAAUCUGCAAGGUUAAUUCCCUGGCAACCUGUCCCAUCUAGAGGCUCCCCAGGAGCUCCCAGCAUCAGUCAUUUCAUUAGCAAAAGACACUUAUCAUUUUGAAGAUUCCAAGGGAUUUAGGAGCAUCUUGCCAAGAAAGAGGGACAAAGACCAAAUAUAUAUUCCUUACUAUAAAUCACAGUAUCUCAAGGAGUGUGAGGCAUAGAAACGGCUGUCCUGUAAGCCUGUCUCCAAGGACCAUCUGAAUCAUAUUAUACAUUGAUUUGUUCUUUGCUUUAGAAACAGUUUCUGUUCUGCUGCGACCCCAUUAAAAAUAUUUAUUAAACCAUGCCAGUCUAAUCUAUGUGCUUAGUUUUUGGAAAUCCCAAGUCCAGCAAUAAAAGAAUGUCAUUUGA
Long non-coding RNA from Marmota flaviventris (yellow-bellied marmot), 938 nucleotides. RefSeq lists it as uncharacterized. NCBI's taxonomy places the organism in Eukaryota, Metazoa, Chordata, Mammalia, Rodentia, Sciuridae. The record is from RefSeq and is a predicted model, not a curated record.